Molecule: unclassified non-coding RNA, 300 nt
Filed under: uncultured Helotiales
Lineage: Eukaryota; Fungi; Ascomycota; Leotiomycetes; Helotiales
Description: sequence contains 5.8S rRNA gene, ITS2
Rfam family: 5.8S ribosomal RNA (bases 1-92)
Source: RNAcentral
CCAGAUGUGUAUAAGAGACAGGUGAGUCAUCGAAUCUUUGAACGCACAUUGCGCCCUCUGGUAUUCCGGGGGGCAUGCCUGUUCGAGCGUCAUUAUAACCACUCAAGCUCUCGCUUGGUAUUGGGGUUCGCGGUUUCGCGGCCCCUAAAAUCAGUGGCGGUGCCUGUCGGCUCUACGCGUAGUAAUACUCCUCGCGAUUGAGUCCGGUAGGUCUACUUGCCAGCAACCCCUAAUUUUUUAAGGUUGACCUCGGAUCAGGUAGGGAUACCCGCUGAACUUAAGCAUAUCAAUAAGCGGAGG